GGGGUUAUAGCUUAGUGGUAGAGCACAUGCUUAACAUGCAGGAGGUCCUGGGUUCAAUCCCUGGUACCUCCA
Molecule: transfer RNA, 72 nt
Filed under: Camelus bactrianus (Bactrian camel)
Lineage: Eukaryota; Metazoa; Chordata; Mammalia; Artiodactyla; Camelidae
Also listed under: 3 other names
Rfam family: tRNA
About the family: Transfer RNA (tRNA) molecules are approximately 80 nucleotides in length. Their secondary structure includes four short double-helical elements and three loops (D, anti-codon, and T loops).
Source: Rfam by way of RNAcentral